GGGUGAAGGGCCUUGGCUCGGUGGUUAGAGCACCUGCUUUGGAUGUAGAAGGUCCCAGGUUCAAUCCCUGAUGCAUCCA
Molecule: non-coding RNA, 79 nt
Organism: Podarcis lilfordi (Lilford's wall lizard)
Lineage: Eukaryota; Metazoa; Chordata; Lepidosauria; Squamata; Lacertidae
Source: the annotation of a GenBank genome assembly